This 77-nucleotide non-coding RNA is filed under the name Pseudomonas oryzihabitans. The record is from RNAcentral. Lineage: Bacteria; Pseudomonadati; Pseudomonadota; Gammaproteobacteria; Pseudomonadales; Pseudomonadaceae. RNAcentral also lists the same sequence under 2 other names.
UUGAGCCGUGUGCUGUGAAAGUCGCAAGCACGGUUCUUAGGGGGCUCCGGAUCAGGAAUGAUCUGGGGCCACCCGCC